AUUGAACGCUGGCGGCGUGCUUAACACAUACAAGUCGAUCGGUAACAGGUGUAGCAAUACAUGCUGACGAGAGGCGGACGGGUGAGGAAUAUUUGGGAAUCUGCCCAUCAGCGGGGGACAACCCGGGGAAACCCGGGCUAAUACCGCAUACGCUCUACGCAGGAAAGCAGGGGACCGCAAGGCCUGGCACUGAUGGAUGAGCCGAAAUCGGAUUAGCUAGUUGGCGGGGUAACGGCCCACCAAGGCGACGAUCCGUAGCUGGUCUGAGAGGACGAUCAGCCACACCGGAACUGAGACACGGUCCGGACUCCUACGGGAGGCAGCAGUGGGGAAUAUUGGACAAUGGGGAAACCCUGAUCCAGCGACGCCGCGUGGGUGAAGAAGGCCUGCGGGUUGUAAAGCCCUUUCGGUAGGGACGAAAGCUCUUGCUCUAAUAAUGCAAGAGGUUGACUUAACCUACAUAAGAAGCACCGGCUAACUCUGUGCCAGCCGCCGCCGUAA
RNAcentral lists this ribosomal RNA (501 nucleotides) under uncultured bacterium. RNAcentral describes it as "partial 16S ribosomal RNA". It matches the Rfam family "Bacterial small subunit ribosomal RNA", at positions 29 to 523 of the family's 1533-position model. The record is from RNAcentral.